GAUGAACGCUGGCGGCGUGCUUAACACAUGCAAGUCGAACGAUGAAGCUCAGCUUGCUGGGUGGAUUAGUGGCGAACGGGUGAGUAACACGUGAGUAACCUGCCCUUAACUCUGGGAUAAGCCUGGGAAACUAGGUCUAAUACCGGUUAGGAGCGCCUACCGCAUGGUGGGUGUUGGAAAAAUUUAUCGGUUUUGGAUGGACUCGCGGCCUAUCAGCUUGUUGGUGAGGUAAUGGCUCACCAAGGCGACGACGGGUAGCCGGCCUGAGAGGGUGACCGGCCACACUGGGACUGAGACACGGCCCAGACUCCUACGGGAGGCAGCAGUGGGGAAUAUUGCACAAUGGGCGAAAGCCUGAUGCAGCGACGCCGCGUGAGGGAUGACGGCCUUCGGGUUGUAAACCUCUUUCAGUAGGGAAGAAGCGAAAGUGACGGUACCUGCAGAAGAAGCACCGGCUAACUACGUG
RNAcentral lists this ribosomal RNA (466 nucleotides) under uncultured bacterium. Its description in RNAcentral is "partial 16S ribosomal RNA". It matches the Rfam family "Bacterial small subunit ribosomal RNA", at positions 28 to 507 of the family's 1533-position model. The record is from RNAcentral.